CUGGGGCUGGGGCUCAGGGGUAGAGCGCUUGCCUAGCACGUGGGAGGCGCUGGGUUCGAUCCUCAGCGCCACAUA
RNAcentral lists this transfer RNA (75 nucleotides) under Marmota monax (woodchuck). RNAcentral describes it as "tRNA.Ala". The record is from RNAcentral. Lineage: Eukaryota; Metazoa; Chordata; Mammalia; Rodentia; Sciuridae.